AUGCUUACCUGGCAGGGGAGACCAUGAUCACGAAGGUGGUUUUCCUAGGGUGAGGCUUUUCCAUGGCACUCUGGAUGUGCUGACCCCUAUGAUCUCCCCAAAUGUGGGAAACUUAACUGCAUAAUUUGUGGUAAUGGGGGACUGCGUUCACACUCUCCCCUG
This 162-nucleotide small nuclear RNA is filed under the name Tupaia belangeri chinensis (Chinese tree shrew). Its description in RNAcentral is "Tupaia chinensis (Chinese tree shrew) U1 spliceosomal RNA". It matches the Rfam family "U1 spliceosomal RNA". Rfam says of the family: U1 is a small nuclear RNA (snRNA) component of the spliceosome (involved in pre-mRNA splicing). The record is from Rfam by way of RNAcentral. Lineage: Eukaryota; Metazoa; Chordata; Mammalia; Scandentia; Tupaiidae.